Molecule: transfer RNA, 66 nt
Filed under: Ignelater luminosus
Lineage: Eukaryota; Metazoa; Arthropoda; Insecta; Coleoptera; Elateridae
Description: tRNA-Ile
Source: RNAcentral
AAUGAAGUGCCUGAAAAUAAAGGGUUAUUUUGAUAGAAUAAAUUAUGUAAAUUCUUACCUUCAUUA